GCUUCAUCAGCAAGACACAAGAACCAGCAAGGCAUGAAGACAAAGCCCCCUCUCUAAAUUUGUUAAAUGCGAAUUUGGUGUUUAUAUGCUUUGCCCUGAGAUGGACGACCCAGAGUGAAAGUUAAGCGACUAAGAAGGUGGACGGACAUAUCUCAUUACAAUCCCUUUAUGAGGCCGGGAGCAGGAAGUGCGCUGUCUUUCCUGUCGCCGGCGUCUAAAAGACAGCGCUUUUCAACGCUUCUCGACACUCUCCGCUUUCAGAGAGAGGGGGACAGGAGACAGAGCGACAAUGCGUGGCGUGAUUAGGAUGCAAGGGUUGUUGGCUCCCCUCUCGACUCAAGGCUAUGCGUUUCUCUCUACCCGGGGAUCAAUAUGAGAUUGUGAAAAACAAGACCUUGUUGUUUUGAAGAACUUUUGUCUCUCGUCCAGGCUUGUGGGGACCGUAGGCUUUAGCCUACUUCUUCUUUUUUUCCAGAGAUGUCCACUACCAGCAGACCCACCGUCGGGACUCCCCAGUUAACGACAGACGAGCUGACCGUCAUAGUGGCCUCAUUGUCCUGUCUGGUCUUCUUCCUGGUGAUCAUGGUGCUCCUGUGUAUGCUGUACCGCAGGGACCCCCUCUGCUGUAAGGUCCGAGAGUACCAGGGAUCACACACAGACCUGUCUACACCUCCCCAGUAUUACAGCAGCACACAAACACUGGUCGGCCCACGAUGCUCUCAAGAAUCCCUGAGCCAUGAGAAUACCUACAGACAGUCAGAUUCGCUGUUCCUGAUUGGCCUGCCCUCCAGCUACGGCCUGCCCUCUUUGGCUGUCCCUCGCCUGCCGUCCUAUGAGAGCGUCCGAAAGAAGGACCGGCAGCGUCAGAUCCACAUGAUGAUCGCCGACCGCUUCGGCCUCAACGGGCCCUACAUCCCUGAGGUGAUUGAUCAAUCCGUCAGCCAAUCAAUACGUCACAUGAUGAUCGCCGACCGCUCCGGCCUCAACGGACCCUACAUCCCUGAGCCUCCACCGUCCUAUGAAGAGAGCAUCCACCAGGCCGUGGAGAUCCCUUGUGCCGUGAUUGGUCCUUUACAUGGCUCCAGUGAUGUGAUUGGUUCCUCAGAGGUCUGCUGUAGCGUGAUUGGUCCUUCGGAGGCCCCCGGUGAUGUGAUUGGUCCUUCAGAGGUGUCCUGUGAUGUAAAUGGUCUGUCCAUUCCUCCCUGUGAUGUCACUGGUCCUGUGGAAGCUCCCCGUGACAGGAUUGACCAAUUGAACGCUCCCCUGCACGUGAUUGGUCCAUUGAACGCUCCGCCUGACAGGAUUGGUCCAUUGAACGCUCCCCUGCACGUGAUUGGUCCAUUGAACGCUCCCCUGCACGUGAUUGGUCCAGCAGGGGCCUCUUCACCAGCCACCAGCCCUCCCUAAAAUACACACGGACACAGACAUUUACCCUGUGUGAACAUACACACACACACACACACACACACACACACAGACACAGACACAGACACAGACACAGACACAGACA
Molecule: long non-coding RNA, 1510 nt
Organism: Clupea harengus (Atlantic herring)
Lineage: Eukaryota; Metazoa; Chordata; Actinopteri; Clupeiformes; Clupeidae
Source: Ensembl